RNAcentral lists this ribosomal RNA (459 nucleotides) under uncultured Haemophilus sp. RNAcentral's name for it is "bacterial SSU rRNA". It matches the Rfam family "Bacterial small subunit ribosomal RNA", at positions 99 to 554 of the family's 1533-position model. Lineage: Bacteria; Pseudomonadati; Pseudomonadota; Gammaproteobacteria; Pasteurellales; Pasteurellaceae. The record is from RNAcentral.
CGGACGGGUGAGUAAUGCUUGGGAAUCUGGCUUAUGGAGGGGGAUAACUACGGGAAACUGUAGCUAAUACCGCGUAGUAUCGAGAGAUGAAAGACUGGGACCGCAAGGCCAGUUGCCAUAAGAUGAGCCCAAGUGGGAUUAGGUAGUUGGUGGGGUAAAGGCCUACCAAGCCGACGAUCUCUAGCUGGUCUGAGAGGAUGACCAGCCACACUGGAACUGAGACACGGUCCAGACUCCUACGGGAGGCAGCAGUGGGGAAUAUUGCACAAUGGGGGGAACCCUGAUGCAGCCAUGCCGCGUGAAUGAAGAAGGCCUUCGGGUUGUAAAGUUCUUUCGGUGAUGAGGAAGGGUAGUGUUUUAAUAGAACAUUACAUUGACGUUAGUCACAGAAGAAGCACCGGCUAACUCCGUGCCAGCAGCCGCGGUAAUACGGAGGGUGCGAGCGUUAAUCGGAAUGGC